This 492-nucleotide ribosomal RNA is filed under the name uncultured bacterium. RNAcentral's name for it is "partial 16S ribosomal RNA". It matches the Rfam family "Bacterial small subunit ribosomal RNA", at positions 29 to 507 of the family's 1533-position model. The record is from RNAcentral.
AGUGAACGCUGGCGGUAGGCCUAACGCAUGCAAGUCGAACGGCAGCACAGUAAGAGCUUGCUCUUACGGGUGGCGAGUGGCGGACGGGUGAGGAAUACAUCGGAAUCUACUUUUUCGUGGGGGAUAACGUAGGGAAACUUACGCUAAUACCGCAUACGACCUACGGGUGAAAGCAGGGGAUCUUCGGACCUUGCGCGAUUGAAUGAGCCGAUGUCAGAUUAGCUAGUUGGCGGGGUAAAGGCCCACCAAGGCGACGAUCCGUAGCUGGUCUGAGAGGAUGAUCAGCCACACUGGAACUGAGACACGGUCCAGACUCCUACGGGAGGCAGCAGUGGGGAAUAUUGGACAAUGGGCGCAAGCCUGAUCCAGCCAUACCGCGUGGGUGAAGAAGGCCUUCGGGUUGUAAAGCCCUUUUGUUGGGAAAGAAAAGCAGCAGGUUAAUACCCCGCUGUUCUGACGGUACCCAAAGAAUAAGCACCGGCUAACUUCGUG